This 38-nucleotide ribosomal RNA is filed under the name Bacidia rubella. RNAcentral's name for it is "partial 28S ribosomal RNA". Lineage: Eukaryota; Fungi; Ascomycota; Lecanoromycetes; Lecanorales; Ramalinaceae. The record is from RNAcentral.
UUGACCUCGGAUCAGGUAGGCAUACCCGCUGAACUUAA